CAGUCGCCACGGGAAUACGUAGGGUGCGAGCGUUAAUCGGAAUUACUGGGCGUAAAGCGUGCGCAGGCGGUUUUGUAAGACAGGCGUGAAACCCCCGGGCUCAACCUGGGAAUGGCGCUUGUGACUGCAAAGCUAGAGUGCGGCAGAGGGGGAUGGAAUUCCGCAUGUAGCAGUGAAAUGCGUAGAUAUGCGGAGGAACACCGAUGGCGAAGGCAAUCCCCUGGGCCUGCACUGACGCUCAUGCACGAAAGCGUGGGGAGCAAACAGGAUUAGAUACCCGCGUAGUCCCUGUCUCUUAUAC
RNAcentral lists this ribosomal RNA (301 nucleotides) under uncultured bacterium. RNAcentral describes it as "partial 16S ribosomal RNA". It matches the Rfam family "Bacterial small subunit ribosomal RNA", at positions 509 to 807 of the family's 1533-position model. The record is from RNAcentral.